AAUUUCAGAAUACUGAGCGUAAGCGCGCGUAGGCGGCUAAUUAAGUCAAAAGGUGAAUCCCCGAGCUUAACUUGGGAAUUGCAUUGGUACUGGUUAGCUAGAGUGUGGGAGAGGAUGGUAGAAUUCCAGGUGUAGCGGUGAAAUGCGUAGAGAUCUGGAGGAAUACCGAUGGCGAAGGCAGCCAUCUGGCCUAACACUGACGCUGAGGUGCGAAAGCAUGGGGAGCAAACAGGAUUAGAUACCCUGGUAGUCCAUGCCGUAAACGAUGUCUACUAGCCGUUGGGGCCUUUGAGGCUUUAGUGGCGCAGCUAACGCGAUAAGUAGACCGCCUGGGGAGUACGGUCGCAAGACUAAAACUCAAAGGAAAUUGACGGG
This 375-nucleotide ribosomal RNA is filed under the name uncultured bacterium. RNAcentral's name for it is "bacterial SSU rRNA". It matches the Rfam family "Bacterial small subunit ribosomal RNA", at positions 541 to 917 of the family's 1533-position model. The record is from RNAcentral.